GAGCUGGGCGUUGGUGCCAGUGGGGUUGUGAGGUGGGAAAGGGUUUUAGAAUGGGCAAUGGAUUGUGCAAAAAUGAAUAAAGAAAUAAAUUGGGGAAUGAGUUCUAAGGAAGACGUAAUUAAAAAUAACAGUUCUCUUUAGUUCAAGUAAAGGGUUUUAAAAUGGGGAAUGAAUUCUAAGGAAGACGUAAUUAAAAUAAAAGUUCUCUUUAGUUCAAGUGAGUUUUGCAAGGUAGUAAAGGGUUUUAAAAAUGGGGAAUGAGUUCUACAAAAAAAUGGGGAGUAGAUUAUAAGGAAGAAAUAAUUUUAAAAAAAUUCUCUUUAGUUAACGUGCUUUUGCAAGACACUAAAAAACUAAAAAAACGGGGAAUAAAUUCUAAGGAAGACAUAAUUAAAAUAAAAGUUCUCUUUAGUUCAAGUAAAGGGUUUUAGAAAAUGGGGAAUGGAUUCUGCAAAAAUAA
Molecule: long non-coding RNA, 460 nt
Filed under: Zonotrichia albicollis (white-throated sparrow)
Lineage: Eukaryota; Metazoa; Chordata; Aves; Passeriformes; Passerellidae
Description: lncRNA (ENSZALG00000001412.1)
Source: RNAcentral